RNAcentral lists this ribosomal RNA (2016 nucleotides) under human oral metagenome. RNAcentral's name for it is "bacterial LSU rRNA". It matches the Rfam family "Bacterial large subunit ribosomal RNA", at positions 889 to 2925 of the family's 2925-position model. The record is from RNAcentral.
UAGAGAUGUGGAGGUAGAGCACUGAAUGUCCUAGGGGGUAUUGCACUUACCGAAGACUAUCAAACUCCGAAUGCCAUUAUCUUUUAUUCAGGAGUCAGACUAUGGGUGAUAAGGUUCAUAGUCGAAAGGGAAAGAGCCCAGACCGUCAGCUAAGGUCCCUAAAUGUAUGUUAAGUGGUAAAGGAUGUGGGAUUGCACAGACAACCAGGAUGUUGGCUUAGAAGCAGCCACUCAUUUAAAGAGUGCGUAAUAGCUCACUGGUCGAGUGAUCCUGCGCCGAAGAUUUCCGGGGCUAAAACAUACUACCGAAGCUACGGCAUCAUAAGAUGAUGGGUAGGGGAGCUUCCCAUGCAGGCUGAAGCGAUACCGUAAGGAGUCGUGGACAGUAUGGGAGAGAGAAUGUUGGCAUGAGUAGCGAGAUGAGGGUGAGAAUCCCUCAGGCCGUAAACCCAAGGUUUCCAGGGGAAGGUUCGUCCACCCUGGGUUAGUCGGGACCUAAGCUCAGGCCGAAAGGCGUAGGCGAUGGACAACAGGUUGAGAUUCCUGUACUACCGAUAAUCGUUUGAGAGAAGGGAUGACACAGUAGGAUAAGCUGAGCACACUGUUGGUUAAGUGUGUCUAAGCGUUGAGGCAGACUAGAUAGGCAAAUCCGUUUAGUUAAUGCUGGGGCGCGAUGGGGAGCGAAACUAAGUAGCGAAGCAGCUGAUUUCACACUGUCGAGAAAAGUCUCUAUCGAGAUUAAAGGUACCCGUACCGCAAACCGACACAGGUGGGUGAGGAGAGUAUCCUAAGGCCAGCGAGAGAACUGUUGUUAAGGAACUCGGCAAAAUGACCCCGUAACUUAGGGAUAAGGGGUGCCCCAGCAAUGGGGCCGCAGAGAAUUGGCCCAAGCGACUGUUUACCAAAAACAUAGGUUUCUGCUAAGUCGCAAGACGAUGUAUAGGAGCUGACGCCUGCCCGGUGCUGGAAGGUUAAGGGGAUCUGUAAGAGCAAUCGAAGCAGUGAUCUUAAGCCCCAGUAAACGGCGGCCGUAACUAUAACGGUCCUAAGGUAGCGAAAUUCCUUGUCGGGUAAGUUCCGACCCGCACGAAAGGCGUAACGAUUUGGGCACUGUCUCAACAACAGACUCGGUGAAAUUGUAAUCCCGGUGAAGAUGCCGGGUACCUGCGACAGGACGGAAAGACCCCAUGGAGCUUUACUGUAGCUUGACAUUGGGUUUCGAUACUACAUGUACAGGAUAGGUGGGAGACUAAGAAAUCAGGGCGUCAGUUUUGAUGGAGUCACCCUUGGGAUACCACCCUUGUAGUAUUGGGACUCUAACCAUAGGCCAUGAAUCUGGUCUUGGGACACUGUCUGGUGGGCAGUUUGACUGGGGCGGUCGCCUCCCAAAAGGUAACGGAGGCGCUCAAAGGUUCCCUCAGUACGGUCGGAAAUCGUACGAAGAGUGUAAAGGCAAAAGGGAGCUUGAUUGCAAGACAUACAGGUCGAGCAAGGUAGAAAUACGGACUUAGUGAUCCGGUGGUUCUGAGUGGAAGGGCCAUCGCUCAACGGAUAAAAGCUACCCUGGGGAUAACAGGCUUAUCUCCCCCAAGAGUCCACAUCGACGGGGAGGUUUGGCACCUCGAUGUCGGCUCAUCACAUCCUGGGGCUGUAGUUGGUCCCAAGGGUUGGGCUGUUCGCCCAUUAAAGUGGUACGCGAGCUGGGUUCAGAACGUCGUGAGACAGUUCGGUCCCUAUCCGUCGCAGGCGUAGGAAAUUUGAGAAGAUCUGUCCUUAGUACGAGAGGACCGGGAUGGACAUACCUCUGGUGUACCAGUUGUUCUGCCAAGGGCAUGGCUGGGUAGCUAUGUAUGGAAGGGAUAAGCGCUGAAAGCAUCUAAGCGCGAAGCCAACUUCAAGAUAAGAUUUCCCACCGCAAGGUUAAGAUCCCAGGAAGACUACCUGGUUGAUAGGUCAGAGGUGUAAGUGCAGCAAUGUAUGUAGCUUACUGAUACUAAUAGAUCGAGGACUUGACCAA